GCUGGCGGCAGGCCUAACACAUGCAAGUCGAGCGGUAACAGAAAGAAGCUUGCUUUCUUUGCUGACGAGCGGCGGACGGGUGAGUAAUGCCUGGGAAUAUACCCUGAUGUGGGGGAUAACUAUUGGAAACGAUAGCUAAUACCGCAUAAUCUCUUCGGAGCAAAGAGGGGGACCUUCGGGCCUCUCGCGUCAGGAUUAGCCCAGGUGGGAUUAGCUAGUUGGUGGGGUAAUGGCUCACCAAGGCGACGAUCCCUAGCUGGUCUGAGAGGAUGAUCAGCCACACUGGAACUGAGACACGGUCCAGACUCCUACGGGAGGCAGCAGUGGGGAAUAUUGCACAAUGGGGGAAACCCUGAUGCAGCCAUGCCGCGUGUAUGAAGAAGGCCUUCGGGUUGUAAAGUACUUUCAGUUGUGAGGAAGGCGUUGGAGUUAAUAGCUUCAGCGUUUGACGUUAGCAACAGAAGAAGCACCGGCUAACUCCGUGCCAGCAGCCGCGGUAAUACGGAAGGUGCGAGCGUUA
This 520-nucleotide ribosomal RNA is filed under the name Photobacterium phosphoreum. RNAcentral's name for it is "bacterial SSU rRNA". It matches the Rfam family "Bacterial small subunit ribosomal RNA", at positions 35 to 543 of the family's 1533-position model. The record is from RNAcentral. Lineage: Bacteria; Pseudomonadati; Pseudomonadota; Gammaproteobacteria; Vibrionales; Vibrionaceae.